This is a long non-coding RNA of Spea bombifrons (plains spadefoot toad), 1028 nucleotides long. RefSeq lists it as uncharacterized. NCBI's taxonomy places the organism in Eukaryota, Metazoa, Chordata, Amphibia, Anura, Pelobatidae. The record is from RefSeq and is a predicted model, not a curated record. The transcript has 2 exons.
AAGUGUUAUCUUGCCUCAAGUGUUAUCUCUUAGUGUUAUCUCUUACAUUACUUACGAUACAAUCAGCCGUGGUAGCAUGCAUAGAAUUUUUCUUUAGGUGGAGUCACCCAAAGGGUUAACAUUAUAUUAUUAAAUGCCACCCUCCCAUACUUCUUGCGGAGCCAAGGGACACAGAUAUUCGAGAGACUAACCGUAGCCGCAGAAGGUGGAGAGCUAACAUAAUGGGUCUGACUGAUAGAGAGGGGUAAUUAUGCUGGCCAUCUGCACCCGUUCUCUGCGGGAAUACUCAAUGUGUUGUUUUAGAGCUGAAAGCCCAAGAAAAGGCGAUUCAUAUUUAUAUGUAAAAAAUUGCCACCGUUCCCAAAUUGCCUUAACCUUUUUCCUGAUCAUGGAGACAAAGAAAAAAAAAACAAAAAAGAAAAUAUGUUAUCUUGCAAAGGAAGCAACCCUGUUUUUUUAAGGUUAUAACAUCAAUACGUAUUAUAUAUAUAUGUCAAUUUUAUUAUUAUUAUUAUAAUUAUUAUUAUUUGUAGCAUCAGUACAGAAACAAUCCUAUGAAGGCGAAUAACAAACAUAUGCAUAUUAUUAUUUUUUUAACAUUAACAAUACUUUUAUAUUUUUUAUACAUUUAUUUUUUUUCUUAUUUAUUUCAAUAACAUAUUUGAAUAACUAUAUAGUACAUUUUGAACUACGAAGUAAGCGUUCUUGUAUUUAUUGAAAAACAUACACUUUAUGAUCUAUAGGGUACUUUAGUUUGGGAUACAUAAGACCAGCCACAGGAGAGUUAAACGCACGGUGCCGUGCUCUGUGAAAACUGGCAGGAUAAGACGCCUAUAACCCAGUAAUGAAGUGUAUCCAGGCGUGUAGGGUAUAAUCCUCCCAUGGGGAACUCUUGUGGUUUCUCCAUGUAGUUUAGGCCGACUGUGGGAAGCUAUAAAUAUUGUGAAGCCAAAAGCACAUGGGGAUGAUGAAUAUUUAUAGCGUUGGACUCCCGCAGCAGUCAUGCAAGCAAUAAUUCCAUAAUAAAA